UACGGAAGGCAGCAGUGGGGAAUAUUGCACAAUGGGCGAAAGCCUGAUGCAGCUAUGCCGCGUGUAUGAAGAAGGCCUUAGGGUUGUAAAGUACUUUCAUCGGGGAGGAAAAACAAAACUAAUAAUUUUAUUUCUUGACGUUACCCGAAAAAGAAGCACCGGCUAACUCCGUGCCAGCAGCCGCGGUAAUACGGAGGGUGCUAGCGUUAAUCAGAAUUACUGGGCGUAAAGAGCACGUAGGUGGUUUUUUUAAGUCAGAUGUGAAAUCCCUGGGCUUAACCUAGGAACUGCAUUUUGAAACUGAAAUACUAGAGUAUCGUAGAGGGAGGUAGAAUUCUAGGUGUAGCGGUGAAAUGCGUAGAUAUCUGGAGGAAUACCUGUGGCGAAAGCGGCCUCCUAAACGAAUACUGACACUGAGGUGCGAAAGCGUGGGGAGCAAAUGGGAUUAGAUACC
This 454-nucleotide ribosomal RNA is filed under the name uncultured bacterium. RNAcentral's name for it is "bacterial SSU rRNA". It matches the Rfam family "Bacterial small subunit ribosomal RNA", at positions 340 to 786 of the family's 1533-position model. The record is from RNAcentral.